Molecule: non-coding RNA, 423 nt
Organism: Onychomys torridus (southern grasshopper mouse)
Lineage: Eukaryota; Metazoa; Chordata; Mammalia; Rodentia; Cricetidae
Source: the annotation of a RefSeq genome assembly
AUGGCUGUCCUGGUGCUGCUCCUCUGUCUGGUGACCUUUCCAAGCUAUAAGUGUGCCCUGUCCCAGGUGCAGCUGAAAGAGUCAGGACCUGGUCUGGUGCAGCCCUCACAGACCCUGUCUCUCAUCUGCACUGUCUCUGGGUUCUCAUUUACCAGCAAUGGUGUCAGCUGGGUCCGCCAGCCUCUAGGAAAGGGUCUGGAGUGGAUGGGAGCAAUAUGGAGAGAUGGAAGUACAGGUUAUAAUUCAGCUCUCAAAUCCCGAGUCACCAUCAGCAGGGACACCUCCAAGAGCCAAGUUUACUUAAAACUGAACAAUCUGCAAACUGAGGACACAGCCAUGUAUUUCUGUGCCAGAGACACAGUGAGGGAACUCCAGUGUGAGCCUGCACAAAAACCUCCCUAUGGAGACAUCUGGUACCAAUAG